This 1176-nucleotide long non-coding RNA is filed under the name Junco hyemalis (dark-eyed junco). RNAcentral's name for it is "lncRNA (ENSJHYG00000000115.1)". The record is from RNAcentral. Lineage: Eukaryota; Metazoa; Chordata; Aves; Passeriformes; Passerellidae.
AUAACAAAAGCUUGUGACUCUCAGAGAGUCCAACACAGCUGGCUGUGAUUGGCCAUUAAUUAGAAACAACCCCCUGAGACCAAUCCCAGAUCCCCCUGUUGCAUCCCACAGCAGCAGAUAAUCAAUGUUUGCAUUUUGUUCCUGAGGCCUCUCAGCUUCUCAGGAGAUAAAAUCCUGGCAAAAAGGGGUUUUUCAGAAAAUAUCAUGGCUGCACAGAGCCAGCUCCCCCAGGAGCUCCCUGGCAGCUCUGUCCCGAGGGCAGUGAGACAGAAACACAAAAACCUUCCCACCACCAGCUCUGCCAGCACAGACAGGUGACAGGAGAUUGAAUUUUUUUUUACUUCAACUUUCACCUUUCUGCACUGCUGCAGGUCUGCUGGGGAAUUUUCAGCACUAAGUGGGAAUGCACAUUGAGUAUUUUUGAUUUUUGUGUGGUGAGAUCCACAGGAAAGCUUUAAGGGAGCACAGGGCGGCCCUGCUGGCUGUGCCACUCUGCUGCCACCACCUCUGUUUCCUCACAGGUUGUGCCACCACCGUGCUGGUGACUGGAGCUGGCAUCGGAGAGAUGGUGCUGCAGCUGCUGGUGGGCUCGAUUAUCCAUGAUCGGGGCAGCUACAGUUUCCUGGUGUGUGGGAUGAUCUUUGGAUGCUUGGCCUUCACCUUCUACGCCCUGCUGGUGUUUUUCCACAGGAUGUACCCCAAGCCCUGCCCAGGUAAGGGAACCCCAGCCCUGAGCCCAGCUUUGGGAUGGGAGCAGGCUCAGCACAAGCCUCACUCCAGAGGUUCCAGCAAAAUGCAAGGAAAUGUUUAUUUUCCUGCUGCUUCCUCUCUCCUUUUCCUGCUUUGUCUUGCCCACAAAGCCUUGGCAGGCACAGCUCAGGGUUUGCUUUCUUUUCUGCUGGAGAAGCAAGGGAAAAUAGCAGGAAUCACAGACAGCACCAGCUUCCCUGGGCUGUUCCCUGGCUGGAAUCCAGGGAGUCAGCAGGGCUGCCAUCCAAGAGCAGCUCUCAGGCUCUGGGAAAAGCCUCACAGAUUAAGGAUUUUUGGGUUAUUAUCUCAGUCUGGAGCUGCUGCUUGUUUUUAUACGAAAGGAGCAGAGUGGGACUGGCAAAAAGCACGGCCAGGUGUGGCUUGGGCUGUGCUGGGGUCACAGCUCGAGGGCUGGGAAAGGAAUGG